UAAGGUAAGUCAGUACUCAUUGUGCCUG
Molecule: non-coding RNA, 28 nt
Filed under: Rattus norvegicus (Norway rat)
Lineage: Eukaryota; Metazoa; Chordata; Mammalia; Rodentia; Muridae
Source: RNAcentral